AAGCGUGCGCAGGCGGUUUUGUAAGACUGUCGUGAAAUCCCCGGGCUCAACCUGGGAAUGGCGAUGGUGACUGCAAGGCUAGAGUUUGGCAGGAGGGGGGUAGAAUUCCACGUGUAGCAGUGAAAUGCGUAGAUAUGUGGAGGAACACCGAUGGCGAAGGCAGCCCCCUGGGUCAAAACUGACGCUCAUGCACGAAAGCGUGGGGAGCAAACAGGAUUAGAUACCCUAGU
This 230-nucleotide ribosomal RNA is filed under the name uncultured bacterium. RNAcentral describes it as "partial 16S ribosomal RNA". It matches the Rfam family "Bacterial small subunit ribosomal RNA", at positions 563 to 791 of the family's 1533-position model. The record is from RNAcentral.